Long non-coding RNA from Zonotrichia leucophrys gambelii, 204 nucleotides. RefSeq lists it as uncharacterized. Lineage: Eukaryota; Metazoa; Chordata; Aves; Passeriformes; Passerellidae. The transcript is spliced from 3 exons. The record is from RefSeq and is a predicted model, not a curated record.
CUGGAGUUAGAUGGCUGCUGCAAGGACUAGAACAGUCAGUGCCCAGAGAAGCAUUGAGUUUCUCAGUCACUGCCUAUGAGAAACAUUGAGGAGCAUCUCACAUUCAGUUCCUUGCUGAGGAGCCAGUGACGUUCUCAUGGAGCACUGGAAUUACAGUGGCUGCAGGACCAGAGCCCAGGUUUGGUGAGCUGAAGAUGCAGCCUG